This 488-nucleotide ribosomal RNA is filed under the name uncultured bacterium. Its description in RNAcentral is "partial 16S ribosomal RNA". It matches the Rfam family "Bacterial small subunit ribosomal RNA", at positions 28 to 507 of the family's 1533-position model. The record is from RNAcentral.
GAUGAACGCUAGCGGCAGGCCUAAUACAUGCAAGUCGGACGGGAUCCAUUGAUAGCUUGCUAUCAAUGGUGAGAGUGGCGCACGGGUGCGUAACGCGUGAGCAACCUGCCUCCAUCAGGGGGAUAGCCUCUCGAAAGAGAGAUUAACACCGCAUAAUAUCAACAGUUCGCAUGUUCAGGUGAUUAAAUAUUUAUAGGAUGGAGAUGGGCUCGCGUGACAUUAGCUAGUUGGUAGGGUAACGGCUUACCAAGGCGACGAUGUCUAGGGGCUCUGAGAGGAGAAUCCCCCACACUGGUACUGCGACCCAGACCAGACUCCUACGGGAGGCAGCAGUAAGGAAUAUUGGUCAAUGGGCGGUAGCCUGAACCAGCCAUGCCGCGUGCAGGAUGACUGCCCUAUGGGUUGUAAACUGCUUUUGUCCAGGAAUAAACCUAAAUACGAGUAUUUAGCUGAAUGUACUGGAAGAAUAAGGAUCGGCUAACUCCGUG